AAUCCAUGAUGAGGGCAAUUGACACACAACUUCUUAUAUCUCUCUCAAGAUUGGUAGAAAUUUUCAUCUUUUUGUUGUUGAAAGGCGGCAAUCUUUUGUCUUCCCUU
This 107-nucleotide small nucleolar RNA is filed under the name Corchorus capsularis. Its description in RNAcentral is "Plant small nucleolar RNA R71". It matches the Rfam family "Plant small nucleolar RNA R71". From Rfam's summary of the family: R71 is a member of the C/D box family of snoRNAs containing the C (UGAUGA) and D (CUGA) box motifs. Multiple nearly identical copies of this snoRNA have been identified in Arabidopsis, and it is thought to function as a 2'-O-ribose methylation guide for 18S ribosomal RNA. Lineage: Eukaryota; Viridiplantae; Streptophyta; Magnoliopsida; Malvales; Malvaceae. The record is from Rfam by way of RNAcentral.